GCGGCCAAUACUUGAAAGCACCGCAUCGCGUUCGAUCUGCGAAGGUAAGCAAGGUAUCGCCUGGUUGGUAGUGCGGUUUGGGGGGAGCACGCGGGAAUGGUAGGUGUUGCAGAUU
Ustilago trichophora is the source of this 115-nucleotide non-coding RNA. The record is from the annotation of a GenBank genome assembly. Lineage: Eukaryota; Fungi; Basidiomycota; Ustilaginomycetes; Ustilaginales; Ustilaginaceae.